Non-coding RNA from Schistosoma mansoni, 45 nucleotides. Lineage: Eukaryota; Metazoa; Platyhelminthes; Trematoda; Strigeidida; Schistosomatidae. The record is from Rfam.
AUCCAGUUGACCGGUCCCAAAUAGGACGAAACGCGCAUCCUGGAU